This 1223-nucleotide long non-coding RNA is filed under the name Equus caballus (horse). RNAcentral's name for it is "lncRNA (ENSECAG00000046506.1)". Lineage: Eukaryota; Metazoa; Chordata; Mammalia; Perissodactyla; Equidae. The record is from RNAcentral.
AUAGGACAGACUGAAGAAAAGGGCUUUGACAUAAGCUCCCAGCCCUUAAUCCUCGGCAGCGUGUGCCCUCCUAGCUUUGCAAAAUGCACACUAAGCUCUCCACCUCCUUAUCCGCUUCUCCCAUCUUGUCUGCCAGCCCGAAGCUAGCAGAGUAGCCGACAACUCCUUUCUUAACCUCAGCUCUUCAUCCAAUUUCCUAAUUUGAGAGUCAGCCUCUAGUUGGGCAUCAAUGGUCAGCAUCCAUCCCCCGGCAGAGGCCAGCCCACUGCAGCAGCCAUGCGUGUCCCUUCUCCCAGCAGGACACUGUGUGCAGCUCCUCAAACAAGAGCAUUAGACUAGCCAGCAUUUUCGGGGCUGGCCCGGACUCAUGCGGCGGUCCACAAGCAUCUGACAUGCGGGCCACCCCUCCCCACGCAGAGGUCAAGGGUCAACUGGGGAUUUCUCCCGAGAUGCCUCUUUCCCAAAACCCACUUCUCCGGUCUCCUGGCUGGCUCGCCAGUUGGUGGUUCCCAACCUCAGGAGCUUCCUGGGUGAACUCUGAAGCUGGACCCCAUACCUGGAGGGCAAGGAGAAACCGACAAGAGGGGCAGGCCACUCCAAAUUGAAUCUUCAAGUUUAUAUAGAAGCCGUCCCUGGGUUCAGUCCCGGCACACAGUCCAGAUGGUCUCAGCAACGCCUUACUCUCUCCAGGCUGUGUCCUUGGGGCAGCUUCCAGCUCAGGGAAGGUGCAGAAACAAGCAGGAUCAAGGCUGACCCACACAGACAGUGAAAUCCAAAGAAGCCACCACAAGCAGAAAAUUUCUUGUGACUUUUUCAAAUCAAUCUAAAUUUCACAUCCUAUUUCAUAAAAGUCAUAUUUGCUUAAAACAAUCCUUUUUUCCUCAAAAGUUGAUAUUUCAGGGCCUGCCCGGUGGCACAGCGGUUAAGUUUGCACACCCCACCUAGGCGGUCUGGGGUUCACGGGUUCGGAUCCCAGGUGCAGACCUACAUACACACUGCUCAUCAAGCCAUGCUGUGGCAGGCGUCCCACAUAUAAAGUGGAGGAGGAUGGGCACGGAUGUUAGCUCAGGACCAGUCUUCCUCAGCAACAAAGAGGAGGAUUGGUGGCAGAUGUUAGCUCAGGGCUAAUCAUCCUCAAAAAAGAAAAAGUUGGUAUUUCAAGAAGGAACACCAGCUUCCCCUCCCAUUCACUCCCCCUGGAGACCUCCACACCUGUGUGAGGG